Molecule: long non-coding RNA, 455 nt
Filed under: Nicotiana benthamiana
Lineage: Eukaryota; Viridiplantae; Streptophyta; Magnoliopsida; Solanales; Solanaceae
Description: long non-coding RNA (NBEN_LNC023260)
Source: RNAcentral
AACCCCAUGAAGCGGAAUGUUGUUUGCUGGAAGUGUGGAGAGCCUGGACACAUGAAGAAGGAUUGUCCAGCAGGUGGAGCAGGUUCGGCUGCAGGUGGAGUAGGCUCCAAGUCAAGUGAUGCUGUUAAUAUGGUCUUUGAUAGGGGCCCAUAUGACCUUAUAUGACCCAAAGACAUGUACAUCCUUAUGGCAUGCCGCUAUUUGCCAUGGUGAAGGAUGUGAGAUUAAUAGCGGAAUUAUACACGGGCAUUGGAUUGGCAGGAAUGCAAGGUGUGUGAUGAAAAGUUAUGUCGAUAGCUGAUGGACUUCCAAGGAGAGCCAAUAGUGGAGGUUGCACCAUAAUAAUCAGCAAGGUGUUUUUUCGACAUGAGUCGAAGUGAAAAUUCUUAGAAUGGUUUAUUCUAAGUGGCGAUACUCUUUAUGGUGAACUAUGACAGGUGUUCAGCAAUGUGGAG